GCCCGGUUAGCUCAGUCAGUAGAGCAUCAGACUUUUUAUCUGAGGGUCAAGGGUUCAAGUCCCUUAUUGGGUG
Molecule: transfer RNA, 73 nt
Filed under: Anneissia japonica
Lineage: Eukaryota; Metazoa; Echinodermata; Crinoidea; Comatulida; Comatulidae
Description: tRNA-Lys
Rfam family: tRNA
About the family: Transfer RNA (tRNA) molecules are approximately 80 nucleotides in length. Their secondary structure includes four short double-helical elements and three loops (D, anti-codon, and T loops).
Source: RNAcentral